This 752-nucleotide long non-coding RNA is filed under the name Capsicum annuum. RNAcentral describes it as "long non-coding RNA (CANN_LNC014378)". The record is from RNAcentral. Lineage: Eukaryota; Viridiplantae; Streptophyta; Magnoliopsida; Solanales; Solanaceae.
AAAAAAAACGCGUCCUUUUUUGAAAAAAUGAGAUGAUCCCACUUCUAUAACUUACCGUCCCGUUACCUCUCAUUCACACCACAGCUUCCCACUUCCAUUUGCUUCCUCAAAAAUGACUUCAAUUUCCUCUUCAAUAAUCUCAACACUUAUUUUUUGUCUAAACACAAAAAUCUCAAAUCAAGAAACAAUUAUUUCUCAAAUGGGUGGUUAUAAAACGCAUAAUUCUUUCAGAAAAGCUUUAAAUUUGAGUUUUCAACUACUGAUUAUUGGUGCAAGAAGAAGAAAAAAAUCGCAAAUGAUUAGUAGUUAUAAAACUGACAAUUAAUUCAGUAAAAAAAACUCUAGUUUUGAAUAUUACCAGGUUGGGAGGUUUUCAAAACGGAGAAUGUUGUCUUGAAUCUAGGCCGUUUAUGACGGCGUAGCGGUGGGCGAAGAGGAGAGAAGAGAUGGGAGUGAUUGGGUAGCAGCGGCAUUUCAGUCCCAAAAAUGUAGAAAGAAAAGGAAAAAAUAUGUUGAAAGAAAUACACUUCAUCAAUUACACUUCAAAAAAGAAAUAAAAGUAGAAAAAAAAAUUAUAAAUUUUAAUACACUUUUUCAAUUCAUUAUUGAAAAAAAGAAAGAAAAAAUUAUAACCAAUUUAAUUUUUUACAUAGCAAAAAUUUAUCAAGACUAUAAAUUCAUGGUCAUUGUCAUCAAUUGAAUUGCAGGAAGAAAAACUGGGAUGGUUUUGAAGAAGAAAGAAUAGUGGGAGG